GUGGAUUAGAUACCCGGGUAGUCCUAGCCGUAAACGGUGAGCACUAGGUGUUGGAGGCAUCGACCCCUCCAGUGCCGCAGCUAACGCAUUAAGUGCUCCGCCUGGGGAGUACGGCCGCAAGGUUGAAACUCAAAGGAAUUGACGGGGGCCCGCACAAGCGGUGGAGCAUGUGGUUCAAUUCGACGCGACGCGAAGAACCUUACCCAGGCUUGACAUGCAUUGGACGGGUGUGGAAACACACCUUCCCUUCGGGGCCGGUGCACAGGUGCUGCACGGUUGUCGCCAGCU
This 288-nucleotide ribosomal RNA is filed under the name uncultured bacterium. RNAcentral's name for it is "partial 16S ribosomal RNA". It matches the Rfam family "Bacterial small subunit ribosomal RNA", at positions 773 to 1060 of the family's 1533-position model. The record is from RNAcentral.